GCCGCCAUUUCCUUGAUUGCUGCUUACUAGAUUCUCCAAAUUGUUUUGGUAGACGUAAGAACAGCCCAAGUGAAGGGAUUCAGCAGCAAGUUGCGAAAACCCGUGGUGCCGGAUUAGAGCAAGAUGCAAAAGUGGACGAAACUAAGUUUAUCUUGGAUUCGGGAGCCUCCGUCCACGCGGUUGGCAAUUUCUCUCUCCUGUCGUCGUUCAGGAAGAUCACCGCCGCCGCCACCUCUUACCGGGCGCGCGACGGUAGGCAGCUAGUUGUCGCCGGGACCGGCACCAUUUCCCGGGGCAGCUUCCAGCUCUCCGACGUCCUGUACGUCCCUGAUCUCCGCGCCGGAGUAGCUCUGGUCUCCGUGCUGCAGCUAGCGGAACGCGGCUACCUCGUCAUGUUCGGUGGCGGCCGGUGCCAUGUCAAGGACCAGAGCACCGGUAACAUGGUGGGGAACGGCCGGUUGCACAGCCAAGAUGGCCUGUACCACCUCGAGUUCCUCAAGAUCCCGCCCGACACAACGGACACCACGGCUCCAUGACGCUCUACACUGCCAUCCCUCCAUGCUAUCGCAAGCACCAGAUUUAU
Molecule: long non-coding RNA, 583 nt
Filed under: Setaria viridis
Lineage: Eukaryota; Viridiplantae; Streptophyta; Magnoliopsida; Poales; Poaceae
Description: long non-coding RNA (SVIR_LNC009995)
Source: RNAcentral